Triticum aestivum (bread wheat) is the source of this 3463-nucleotide RNA transcript. It is a transcript of the gene named lysine-specific demethylase JMJ25-like, with no coding region annotated. Lineage: Eukaryota; Viridiplantae; Streptophyta; Magnoliopsida; Poales; Poaceae. The transcript is spliced from 13 exons. The record is from RefSeq and is a predicted model, not a curated record.
GAAAGGUGAGGUGAGCAGGGCCCAGCCAGGAAGGCCCCCGAACCAGACCGCCUCCCCGCUGCAACCCCUUCCGCCACGGCUUGAUUGCCUGCCGGUGGCUUUCCUUUUCUUCCUUCCCCUGCGCAGCUUCUCGCACACGCAGAUGCUGCUCUUCCUUCCGUCCCCGGACACGCAGGCAAGGCAAAGGCACCCACCACCAAAUAGGAAGGGGAGUUACUCCACCACCAGCCUAGCCUAGCCUAGCACAGCACAGCAGUGGGAGGGGGAGGCACCAGGGCAGGGCAGGGCAGGGCCGGAGAUGGAUGGAGAAUUGUUGCAGCGCAGCCCACUGCAAAGCUCCAAAUUACAACACGGAGCCCAACCACCACUUAUACGCCACCGCCACCGCCACCAUCGCCACCACUUUCCCCUCCCCGAUCCCCUCCCCAAACCCUAACCCCCUCCCCUCGGAUCCGCGCAUGGAGGCGUGACGGGCCGGGGGGAUGGACGCCGUGCCGGAGGACCUCCGCUGCAAGCGCUCCGACGGCAAGCAGUGGCGCUGCAGCGCCCCUUCCAUGCCCGACAAGACCGUCUGCGAGAAGCACUACGUCCAGGCCAAGAAGCGCGCCGCCUCCUCCGCGCUACGCGCCACGCUCCGCAGGUCCUCCCCCGCCUACGCCGCCGCCUCCUACGCGCAGCACCGCGAGGGCGACUCCGUCGCCGACGCUGACCUGCCCCUGCCAAUGGCUGUCGCGAGGCCCUUCUACGGCAGCGUCGUCGGGGAGCCUGUCUACGUGGCGGAACCGGCGGUGCGGAGGGGGCUGCCCCUCACCAAUGCUAUCNCAUGUCGGUGACGGCAGGAGCUAGUCGGGGGAGCCUCUGUAGGGCUGCAAGGCUGUGCGGAGGUGAAGACGAGUUGCCACCAAUGCCGGAGGAGUGUCAAUGCCGUUUGGUGUACCAGCUGUGACAGGAGGGGGUAUUGCGACGGCUGCAUCUCCAGAUGGUACUCUGACAUUGCAAUAGAUGAUAUUCAAAAGGUUUGUCCAGCAUGCCGUGGCAUUUGUAACUGCAAAUUUUGCUUACAAGGAGACAACUUAAUUAAGGCAAGGGUGCAGGAGAUAUCUGUUGUAGAUAAGUUGAAAUAUCUUCAUAGCAUUUUGGCAUAUGUUCUUCCAGUGCUAAAGCAGAUUUACUCCAACCAAUGCUUUGAAAUAGGUGUUGAAACAAGAGCUUAUGGGCCCAAGAUGGACAUCAUUAGGGCAAAGAUGAAUUCUGAUGAGCAAAUGUGCUGUGACUUUUGCAAAGUGCCAGUGUUUGAUUAUCAUCGACACUGUCCAAGUUGUUUGUAUGACUUAUGCCUUGACUGUUGUCGAGACAUUAGGCGCUCUCAGACAAAUGUAGUCAGAGGAGAAUAUGCUGAAAGUAAAGGUCCUGUGGUAGAGACAAAUAAAGAUAGUGCGAGUGACAGAGCAAGAUUGGAACCAUCUGCAGCAAGUGUCAACGAUAAGUUGUUCCCACAGCCGAUAGAUGCAAAUGAUAUUGGCAUCAGAUCUUUGUUUCCUACAUGGAGAGUCAACAAUGAUGGCAGCAUCACUUGUGGGCCUCAUGAGGCUGGUGGUUGUGGCUCCUCAAAGCUGGUAUUAAGGCGAAUAUUCAAAAUAAACUGGAUUGGUAAGCUUGUAAAGAGUUCUCAAGAAAUGGUUAAUGGUUGCAAAGCACAUGAUCUUGAGAAUGGAUGCUCAUCCUGUAACGAUAGCAGAAGAUUGGACUCAAUUGGUCGCCAUAACUUUGGUCUCUCAAAAUGUUCAGAUAGUGAUGGUAUUGAUGGGAAUUCUGUGUACUCUUCUGUACUGGAGAACUUAAAAUACGAGGGUAUUGUCCAUUUCCGUAAACACUGGAUAAAUGGGGAGCCUGUAAUUGUUAGGAAUGCAUUUGAGCCUUCUUUAUCAUCAAGUUGGGACCCGUUAAGUAUUUGGCGAGGAAUCCAGGAGAUCAUGGAUGAAAAAAUGGAUGAAAAUGCCAUAGUUAAAGCUGUGGACUGCUCAAACCAAUCAGAGGUGCAUAUCAAGCUCAACCAAUUUAUCAAAGGUUAUUCAGAUGGUCACAAGGGAGAAGAUGGCAAGUUAAUGAUGCUGAAAUUGAAAGAUUGGCCUCCAGUGAGCGUAUUAGAGGAGUUUCUGUUAUGCCAGCGACCAGAGUUCAUUGUCAAUUUUCCCUUAGUAGACUUUAUCCAUUCUAAGUGGGGCUUUCUUAACCUUGCGGCUAAGUUACCCCCAGAUGCCCUACAGUCUGAAGUAGGCCUAAAGCUGCUUAUUGCAUAUGGAAGGCAGCAACAACCUGGUAGAAGCGAUUCAGUGACAAAUCUGAUGGUUAAGAUGGGUGAUGUGGUACACAUGUUAAUGCAUAGAGCUGAAAUGCGUUACCUAUGUCCAAAGAGUCUACAACCUGAGCAGCCGGAAAGGAUUGCUAAUGGGAUGGCAGUGCAUGUAAAUGCUCAUGCACCUGUGCAAAAUUUGAAUCUGGAUAUGGGGGAACAAUCACCUGAACACACAGUUUCUAAGUCUUGCAGCCCUUCUGUAGGAUCUUCUGCUGAACUAUCGAGUUCAUCACAUUCAGAGCAACCAAAAACUAAUGGUGUAGAAAGAUCUCAGCCUGGUGCUCUUUGGGAUGUCUUCCGCAGGCAGGAUGUGCCGAUGCUGAAUAAAUAUUUAGCUUCUAACUGGGAGGAACUUACAAAUAACAGUCAGGCGAUGCUCUCUGUGAAGCAUCCUAUUUAUGAUCAAGCUGUAUAUCUCAGGGAGCAUCAUAAAAGGGUAUUAAAGGAUCAAUAUGGAAUUGAACCUUGGACAUUUGAACAACAUAUUGGCGAGGCUGUUUUUAUUCCAGCUGGCUGUCCUUACCAAGUAAAAAAUCUCCAGUCUACGGUUCAGUUGGCUCUGGAUUUUUUGUCGCCUGAGAGUUUGCGGGAGUCGGCUCGUAUGGGCCAAGAGAUACGCUGCCUGCCAAAUCAUCAUGAUGCAAAACUGAAGAUGCUUGAGGUUGGAAAGAUAGCUUUAUAUGCAGCAAGUUCCGCUGUCAAAGAAAUUCAGAAAAUAACCCUCGAUCCCAAGUUUAAUCUGGAUAUCAGAUUUGAGGAUCAGAACCUAACCCGGGCAGUUUCAGAGAACUUGGCUAGAGUCACUAAACAACGAAAGGUGUCUUGUGGUUGACAUUCUACAAGCCCUCAGGAGAUGCGGGAUGUAAAAUUGAAACUGAAACCCAUGUGAAGUAGAUAUAGCAAAUUGUACAUGUAGCAUACCAUGUCCCGAAAGGAACACAUUCACAACUCUUGUCAGAUAGUAUUGACCUCACCUGUAUAUUGUGGGUUAGGACUAACGGCUGUGCUCAUGUCAACAAAAAUAAUGUGUUGAGCAAUUAAUGAACAUUACAAUGAGAGUAUGAAUGAUAACUGCUCUUCCGCCAUUUUGAAGAGAAUUUCAGACAA